AAACAGUAAAGGCAAAACGGAUGAAAAUCCGGGACGCAAAGCUAAAGGGUCUAAGUCAGAUGAUAAUCAAUGCAUCAUGAUAUGACAGCCAGUUGCCACA
Acetobacterium wieringae is the source of this 100-nucleotide non-coding RNA. NCBI's taxonomy places the organism in Bacteria, Bacillati, Bacillota, Clostridia, Eubacteriales, Eubacteriaceae. The record is from Rfam.